AUAUGAAGUCUGGCCUGCCCAGUGAAUUUUUUAACGGCCGCGGUACUCUGACCGUGCAAAGGUAGCAUAAUCAUUUGCCUUAUAAUUGAAGGCUGGAAUGAAUGGUUUGACAAGAAUAUAACUGUCUCUUUAUGAUUGAAUAGAAUUUUAUUUUAGAAUGAAAAAGUUCUAAUUUAAUUAAAAGACAAGAAGACCCUAUCGAGCUUGAAAUAAAUUGGUAAAAUAAUAUAUUAAUAGGACUAAAAAAUUAAUUACUAAAGAUUUUGGUUGGGGCAACCGAGGAGUAAAAAAAGCCUCCUUUAUAAACUUAAACAGUAUUGGUAUUGAUCCAGAAUUUUUGAUUAAAAGAAAUAGUUACCGUAGGGAUAACAGCAUUAUCUUUUUUGAGAGCCCUUAUCGAAAAAAAGGUUUGUGACCUCGAUGUUGGACCAGAAUGUCCUAAAGAUGCAGAAGUCUUUAAAGGUUGGUCUGUUCGACCAUUAAAAUUCUA
RNAcentral lists this ribosomal RNA (490 nucleotides) under Borsonia sp. NP-2008. Its description in RNAcentral is "partial 16S ribosomal RNA". It matches the Rfam family "Bacterial large subunit ribosomal RNA", at positions 1845 to 2598 of the family's 2925-position model. Lineage: Eukaryota; Metazoa; Mollusca; Gastropoda; Neogastropoda; Conidae. The record is from RNAcentral.